CAGCCGCCGCGGGAAUACGUAGGUGGCAAGCGUUGUCCGGAAUUAUUGGGCGUAAAGGGCUCGCAGGCGGUUUCUUAAGCCUGAUGUGAAAGCCCCCGGCUCAACCGGGGAGGGUCAUUGGAAACUGGGAGACUUGAGUGCAGAAGAGGAGAGUGGAAUUCCACGUGUAGCGGUGAAAUGCGUAGAGAUGUGGAGGAACACCAGUGGCGAAGGCGACUCUCUGGUCUGUAACUGACGCUGAGGAGCGAAAGCGUGGGGAGCGAACAGGAUUAGAUACCCCUGUAGUCCCUGUCUCUUAUAC
Molecule: ribosomal RNA, 301 nt
Filed under: uncultured bacterium
Lineage: Bacteria
Description: partial 16S ribosomal RNA
Rfam family: Bacterial small subunit ribosomal RNA
Source: RNAcentral